UAAAGGAACGUUGGCGAAUGUUCAUUUUAGGAAGUAACCAUAGCAACAGUAGCUGUAGGAACCUCAUCAAGAUUAGUUUAGGAUGUUUAUUACAUGGACAAAACCUAAAUACUGUCGUUGUUUGUCACUUUAUUCUGCAGUUUCAGGUAGUUCACAGAAACAUCACGUAAACCUUUAGUGAUAUAUCUAAAUUUUUUAAGAUGCUUGAAGCUGUUUGGCAAACUGCGCUAGGGGCGCCAAAUACAGUUUGCAUUGAGGGAGACGAACUUAUCAGAAAAUUACUGACAAGUUCCCUGUAAUUCCUGAACAAGGUUCCUAUAUAUUUCAGAUGGUUAAUGAAGUGUUGACGGCCUUCUACUCCCAGGACAGGAUCAUUUGAAAGAAACUAUAAGGGGAUCGAAGUUCCAGACUGCUCAGUACUGUGGCACACAGGAUCCUCUCCAAGGCUUGGGUUGCUACUCUGUUGUUUGUGGAAAAGUAAAGUCUUCACUUCACAUUUCCUGCCAUUCCUGUGUAAAAUUAGCAGCAGGCUGGCCUUAUCUACACAGACCAGGGUUCCUGUGGGAUGGAGAGGAAAGGGAGGAGUGUACAGAGAAGGAGGAGAGUCAAGG
Long non-coding RNA from Cyprinus carpio (common carp), 611 nucleotides. RefSeq lists it as uncharacterized. The transcript is spliced from 2 exons. The record is from RefSeq and is a predicted model, not a curated record. Lineage: Eukaryota; Metazoa; Chordata; Actinopteri; Cypriniformes; Cyprinidae.